RNAcentral lists this transfer RNA (68 nucleotides) under Pteria penguin. RNAcentral describes it as "tRNA-Ile". Lineage: Eukaryota; Metazoa; Mollusca; Bivalvia; Pterioida; Pteriidae. The record is from RNAcentral.
AGCAGUGUGCCUGAUAAAAGGGCUACGUUGAUGUCGUAGAGUAUGCAGGAGAAGCCCUGUGGCUGUUA